ACAUCCACCCAAAAAGGCAAAAAAUGAAGUGAGGCAACAGCCAACAGUUGCACCUUCGUAUCGUUGCCUCACACCCACACAAGACCCAACAAUUGCAGCCACAUCAUUCAGCAAUCGUCGAUUGAGUUCAAACUAGAGCAAACGCGACACAGCUACACGAGGCCAGCACGGCAGCACGCGACGCAGCAGUGAACUCAGCAGCACCAACAGCGCACGCAAACCAACAACAACCAUCACCAACUCUACCCCAAGUAAGCUUUGAUUUUUUUUUAUUAUUGUAGAAAUUCUGAGAUUACUGAAGCCAUUGUUGAUGUUGUAAUGGAGAGUAGUUUUGUGGAAGAAUCGAGAGAGGGAGAAUGAAGAAGAAGAAGAAGAAGAAUGUUUCAUUGUUGCCAUAGAAAGUGGAUAACGAAGAAGAAGCAUUGUGUUUCAGUUUCAGCCACAAGUUCUUUUAAAAAUUAUUGAAGGGUAUUUAACAUUUACCUAGUUUAUCACUUUUAAUUUGCAGGUUUUUAUUUGAUAGGCACUUUCUCGUUUGUCAUUAAAAUUAAGCAAAUUUUUCACUUACAUGUAUAUUAUUGUCUUUUUUUAUUAUUAUGAGAUUUAGAG
This 609-nucleotide long non-coding RNA is filed under the name Citrus sinensis (sweet orange). RNAcentral describes it as "long non-coding RNA (CSIN_LNC003091)". The record is from RNAcentral. Lineage: Eukaryota; Viridiplantae; Streptophyta; Magnoliopsida; Sapindales; Rutaceae.